CCACACAUGCACUGUGUUUCCAAUCAAUACAAUUAUAGCAUGGAUAAUAAACGAUUAUCAUGAACUAAGAAAUAUAAUAAUAAAUAAUUUAUUAUUGCCUCUAGGGCAUAUUUCCAACAGUCUCCCACUUGCACUAGAGUCAAUAAUUUAGUUCACAUCACCAUGUGAUUCCAACGAAUCCAACACCCAUAUAGUCAUGGGGUCUGAUCACGUCUUGCUCGUGAGAGCGGUUUUAGUCAACGGUUCUGAAACUUUCAGACCCGUGUGUUAUUUACAAAUCUUUAUGUCAUCUUAUAGAUGCUGCUACUAUGUGCUAUUCGGAAANNNNNNNNNNAGAUUAGUGUCAAAGCUUGCAUCGACGUAACCCUUUAUGACGAACUCUUUAACCACCUCCAUAAUCGAGAAAUAUUCCUUAGUCCAUCAGUUACUAAGGAUAAAUUUUGACCGCUGCUAGUGAUUNNNNNNNNNNNNNNNNNNNNNNNNNNNNNNNNNNNNNNNNNNNNNNNNNNNNNNNNNNNNNNNNNNNNNNNNNNNNNNNNNNNNNNNNNNNNNNNNNNNNNNNNNNNNNNNNNNNNNNNNNNNNNNNNNNNNNNNNNNNNNNNNNNNNNNNNNNNNNNNNNNNNNNNNNNNNNNNNNNNNNNNNNNNNNNNNNNNNNNNNNNNNNNNNNNNNNNNGUCUAUUCUCUUUAUUCUGCCGUGGUCGUGUUUUGAGUCUUACUCAAAUUCACACCUCACAACGCAACCAAGAACUCCUUCUUUGCUGAUCUAUUUUGAACUCCUUCAAAAACUUGUCAAGGCAUGCAUCUUGUUGAAACUUCUAUUAAGCGCUUUCGAUCUAUCUUCAUAGAUCUUUGAUGCUCAACGUUCAAGUAGCGCAAUCCAGGUAUUCCUUUGAAAAACUCCUUUCAAACAACCUUUUAUGCUUCACAGAAAUUCUACAUUACUUCUGAUCAACAAUAUGUCAACCACAUACACUUAUCAGAAAUUCUAUAGUGCUCCCACUCACUUCUUUGGAAAUACAAGUUUCUCAUAAACCUUGUACAAACCGAAAAUCUUUGAUCGUCUCAUCAAAGUGUAUAUUCCAACUCCAAGAUGCUUGCACCAGUCCAUUGAAGGAUCGCUGGAGCUUGCAUACUUGCUAGUAUCUUUAGGAUCGACAAAACCUCCUGGUUGUAUCACAUACAAUGUUUGCUCAAGAAAAACAUCAAGGAAACAAUGUUUUGACAUCCUAUGUGCAAUAUUUCAUAAAUAAUGCNNNNNNNNNNNNNNNNNNNNNNNNNNNNNNNNNNNNNNNNNNNNNNNNNNNNNNNNNNNNNNNNNNNNNNNNNNNNNNNNNNNNNNNNNNNNNNNNNNNNACAAUAUGUCAAUCACAUAUACUUAUCAGAAAUUCUAUAGUGCUCCCACUCACUUCUUUGGAAAUACANNNNNNNNNNCAAAAUCUUUGAUCAUCUCAUCAAAGUGUAUAUUCCAACUCCGAGAUGCUUGCUCCAGUCCAUUGAAGGAUCGCUUGAGCUUGCAUACUUGCUAGUAUCUUUAGGAUCGACAAAACCUCCGGGUUGUAUCACAUACAAUGUUUGCUCAAGGAAACCGUCGAGGAAACAAUGUUUUGACAUCCUAUGUGCAAUAUUUCAUAAAUAAUGCAACAACUACUAACAUAAUUAUAACAGACUUUUAGCAUCGCUACGAGUGAGAAAGUCUCAUCAUAGUCAAGUGUUUGAUCUUGUCGGAAACAUCUUUGUGACAAGUCGAGCUUUUCUUAAUAGUGACUUAUCACCAUCAUCGUCUGUCUUCCUUUUAAAGCUCCAUCUUUACUCAAUAGUCCUAUGACCAUCAAGUAGUUCUUCCAAAGUCUACACUUUGUUUUCAUACAUGGAUCCUCUCUCGGAUUUCAUGGCUUCCAGCCAUUUGUCGGAAUCCGGGCCCACCAUUGCUUUCUACAUAACUCGUAGGUUCACUGUUGCUCAACAACAUGACCUCCAAGACAGGGUUACCGUACCACUCUGCAGUAGUAUGCGACCUUGUCGACCUACGAGGUUUGUAGUAACUUGAUCUGAAGCUCAAUGAUCACCAUUAUCAGCUUCCACUUCAAUUGGUGUAGGCGCCACACGAACAACUUCAUGUGCCCUGCUACACACUAGUCGAAGUGAUGGUUCAAUAACCUCAUCAAGUUCUAUCACCCUCCCACUCAAUUCUUUCGAGAGAAACCUUUCCUCGAGAAAGGANNNNNNNNNNCGAUGCUCGAUGAUCACCAUCAUCAGCUUUCACUUCAAUUGGUGUAGGCGCCACAGGAACAACUUCCUGCGCCCUGCUACACACUGGUUGAAGUGAUGGUUCAAUAACCUCAUCAAGUUCUACCACCCUCCCACUCAAUUCUUUCGAGAGAAACCUUUCCUCGAGAAAGGAUCCGUUUCUAGAAACAAACACUUUGCUUUCGGAUCUGAGAUAGGAGAUGUACCCAACUGUUUUGGAUAUCCUAUGAAGAUGCAUUUAUCCGCUUUGUGUUCGAGCUUAUUCGACUGAAACUUUUUCACACAAGUGUCGAAGCCCCAAACUUUCAAGAAGCGACAGUUUAGAUUUCUCUAAACCUCAGUCUAUAAUGUGUCAUCUCAACGGAAAUACGCGGUGCCCUAUUUAAAGUGAAUGCGGUUGUCCCUAAUGCAUAACCCAUAAACAAUAGUGGUAAUUCAAUAAGAGACAUCAUAACAUGCACCAUACCAAAUAGUGCGUGGCUAUGACGUUCAGACACAUCAUNNNNNNNNNNACGAUAGUUUAGAUUUCUCUAAACCUCAAUCUAUACUGUGUCGUCUCAACGGAAAUACGCGGUGCCCUAUUUAAAGUAAAUGCGGUUGUCUCUAAUGCAUAACCCAUAAACGAUAGUGGUAAUUCGAUAAGAGACAUCAUAGCAUGCACCAUACCAAAUAGUGCGUGGCUAUGACGUUCAGACACAUCAUCACACUAUGAUGUUCCAGGUGGCAUGAACUGCGAAACAAUUUCCACAUUGUCUUAACUGCGUACCAAAACUUGUAACUCAGAUAUUCAUUUCUAUGAUCAUAUCGUAGACAGUUUAUCCUCUUGUUACAACGAACUUCACUCCUGAAACAGAAUUGAACCUUUCAAUAUUUCAGACUUGUAAUUCAUUAAGUAAUUACUCUUGUAUCUGCUCAAAUCGUCAUUGAAGUAAGAACAUAAUGAUAUCCACUGCGUGCCUCAUCACCCAUUGGACUGCAUACAUCAAAAUGUAUCACUUCCAACAAGUUACUAUCUUGUUUCAUCUCAAUGAAAACAAGGCCUUGCUCAUGUGGUAUGAUUUGCAUGUCACUAGUGAUUCAAAAUCAAGUGAGUAUAAAGAUCCAUCAGCAUGGAGCCUCUUCAUGCAAUUUAUACCAACAUGACUCAAGCGGCAGUGCCACAAGUAAGUGGUACUAUCAUCAUUACCUCGUAUCUUUUGGCACCAAUAUCGUGAACAUGUGUAACACUACAAUCGAGAUUCAAUAAACCAUUGAAGGUGAUUAUUCAAGCAAAUAGAGUAACCAUUAUUCUCUUUAAAUGAAUAAUUGUAUUGCAAUAAACACGAUCAAUCAUGUUCAUGCUUAACGCAAGCACCAAAUAACAAUUGUUUAGGUUUAACACCAAUCCCGAUGGUAGAGGGAGCGUGCGACGUUUGAUCAUAUCAACCUUGGAAACACUUCCAACACGUAUCGUCACCUCGCCUUUAGCUAGUCUCCGUUUAUGCCGUAGCUUUCAUUUCGUGUUACUAAUCACUUAGCAACCGAACCGGUAUCCAAUACCCUCGUGCUACUAGGAGUACUAGUAAAGUACACAUCAACAUCAUGUAUAUCANNNNNNNNNNUUUAAAUGAAUAAUCGUAUUGCAAUAAACACGAUCCAAUCAUGUUCAUGCUUAACGCAAGCACCAAAUAACAAUUAUUUCGGUUUAACACCAAUCCCGAUGGUAGAGGGAGCGUGCGACGUUUUGAUCAUAUCAACCUUGGAAACACUUCCAACACGUAUCGUCACCUCGCCUUUAGCUAGUCUCCGUUUAUGUCGUAGCUAUUAUUUCGUGUCACUAAUCACUUAGCACCGAACCGGUAUCUAAUACCCUUGUGCUACUAGGAGUACUAGUAAAGUACACAUCAACAUCAUGUAUAUCAAAUAUACGUCUUUCGACUUUUGCCAGCCUUCUUAUCUACCAAGUAUCUAGAGUUGCUCCGCCUCAGUGACUGUUCCCCUCAUUACAGAAGCACUUAGUCUCGGGUUUUGGGAUUAAUCUUGGGUCUCUUCAUUAGUGCAGCAAUUGUUUUGCCAUUUCACGAAGUAUCCCUUCUAGCCCUUGUCUUUCUUGAAACUUAGUGGUUUUACUAACCAUCAACUAUUGAUGCUCCUUCUUGAUUUCUACUUUCGCAGUGUCAAACAUCGCGAAUUGCUCAAGGAUCAUUGUAUCUAUCCUUGAUAUGUUAUAGUUCAUCACGAAGCUCUCACAGCUUGGUGGCAGUGACUUUGGAGAACNNNNNNNNNNUGGGAUUGGGUUUAAUCUUGGAUCUUUUCAUUAGUGCAGCAACUGUUUUGCCGUUUCACGAAGUAUCCCUUCUAGCCCUUGCCUUUCUUGAAACUUAGUGGUUUUACCAACCAUCAACUAUUGAUGCUCCUUCUUGAUUUCUAUUCGCAGUGUCAAACAUCGCGAAUCGCUCAAGGACCAUUGUAUCUAUCCUUGAUAUGUUACAGUUCAUCACGAAGCUCUCACAGCUUGGUGGCAGUGACUUUGGAGAACNNNNNNNNNNGAUAAUCUGAGCACACGCUCAACGAUUGAGCUUUUCUCCCUUACUUUGUGGACAAAGAAUCUUGUCAGAGGUCUCGUACCUCUUAACAAGGGCACAAGCAUGAAAUCACAAUUUCNNNNNNNNNNCAUCACUAUCUCAUCUGGAAGAUUAACUCCCACUUGAUUCAAGCGAUUGUCGUACUCAAACAAUCUGAGCACACGCUCAACGAUUGAGAUUUUCUCCUUUACUUUGUGGACAAAGAAUCUUGUUGGAGGUCUCGUACCUCUUAACAAGGGCACAAGCAUGAAAUCACAAUUUCNNNNNNNNNNUCUUAUGUUCUGUGACAUUUGAAAACGUCUUCGACGCCUUGCUUCUAAGCCAAUAAGUAUUUUGUACGGAACUAUCAUGUAGUCAUCAGAAACGUGUAUGUCGGAUGUUCACAGCAUCCAUAGACGACGCUCGAGGUGCAGCACACCGAGUGGUGCAUUAAGGACAUAAGCCUUCUGCGCAGCAACGAGGACNNNNNNNNNNACUUAUGUUCUGUGACGUUUCAAAACUUCUUCGGCGCCUUGCUUCUAAGCCAUUAAGUAUUUUGCACUGAACUAUCGUGUAGUCAUCAGAAACGUGUAUGUCGGAUGUUCACAACAUCUAUAGACGACGCUCGAGGUGCAUCAUACCGAGUGGUGCAUUAAGGACAUAAGCCUUCUGCGCAGCAACGAGGACAAUCCUCGGUUUUAGUUUGCUACUAUCAACUUUCAACUAAAUUUUCUCUAGGAACAUAUAAAAAUAGCAGAGCUAUAGCGCAAGCUACAUCUUAAUUCGCAAAGACCAUUAGACUAUGUUCAUGACAAUUAGUUCAAUUAAUCAUAUUACUUAAGAACUCCCACUCAAAAAGUACAUCUCUCUAGCAUUUGAGUGGUACAUGAUCCAAAUCCACUAUCUCAAGUCCGAUCAUCACGUGAGUCGAGAAUAGUUUCAGUGGUAAGCAUCUCUAUGCUAAUCAUAUCAACUAUACGAUUCAUGCUCGACCUUUCGGUCUCAUGUGUUCCGAGGCCAUGUCUGCACAUGCUAGGNNNNNNNNNNNNNNNNNNNNNNNNNNNNNNNNNNNNNNNNNNNNNNNNNNNNNNNNNNNNNNNNNNNNNNNNNNNNNNNNNNNNNNNNNNNNNNNNNNNNCUCUCCGUCACACGGAGUGACAAAUCCCAGUCCCGAUCCAUACUAACUCAACGAACACCUUCGGAGAUACCUGUAGAGCAUCUUUAUAGUCACCCAGUUACGCUGUGAUGUUUGAUACACAUAAAGCAUUCCUCCGGUGUCAGUGAGUUAUAUGAUCUCAUGGUCAUAGGNNNNNNNNNNUAUUCCUUCGGUGUUAGUAAGUUAUAUGAUCUAAUGGUCAUAGGAACAAAUACUUGACACGCAGAAAAACAAUAGCAACAAAAGGACACGAUCAACAUGCUACGUCUAUUAGUUUGGGUCUAGUCCAUCACGUGAUUCUCCUAAUGACGUGAUCCAGUUAUCAAGCAACAACACCUUGUUCAUAAUCAGAAGACACUGACUAGCUUUGAUCAACUGGCUAGCCAACUAGAGGCUUGCUAGGGACAGUGUUUUGUCUAUGUAUCCACACAUGUAAAUGAGUCUUCAUUCAAUACNNNNNNNNNNCAGGAAACCUUGACCAUCUUUGAUCAACGAGCUAGUCAACUAGAGGCUUACNNNNNNNNNNCAACUAUAUUUCUUAUUUCCUCUAGGGCAUAAUUCCAACAGUCUCCCACUUGCACUAGAGUCAAUAAUCUAGGCAUCACAUCACCAUGUGAACUAUAUUGUAAUAAAUCUAACACCCAUACAGUUCUGGUGUUGAUCAUGCUUUNNNNNNNNNNUAGGAAUUAUAAUAAUAACUAUAUUUAUUAUUGCCUCUAGGGCAUAAUUCCAACAACGUUCCCCAACAUGCCCUAGAGGCAAUAAUAAAUUAGUUAUUAUUAUAUUUCCUUGUUCAUAAUAAUCGUUUAUUAUCCAUGCUAGAAUUGUGUUGAUUGGAAACUCAAAUACAUGUGUGGAUACAUGGACAACACACUGUCCCUAGUGAGCCUCUAGUUGACUAGUUCGUUGAUCAAAGAUGGUCAAGGUUUCCUGGCCAUAGGCAAGUGUUGUCACUUGAUAACGGGAUCACAUCAUUGGGGGAAUGAUGUGAUGGACAAGACCCAAACUAUAAACAUAGUAUAUGAUCGUGUUAGUUUAUUGCUACUGUUUUCUACAUGUCAAUGUAUCUGUUCCUAUGACCAUGAGAUCAUGCAACUCCCAGACACUGGAGGAAUACCUUGUGUGUUAUCAAACGUCGCAACGUAACUGAGUGACUAUAAAGGUGCUCUACAGGUAUCUCCAAAGGUGUCUGUUGGGUUGGCAUGGAUCAAGACUGGGAUUUGUCACUCCGUGUGACGGAGAGGUAUCUCGGGGCCCANNNNNNNNNNGCAUGGUGAUGUGAGGGCUAGAUUAUUGACUCUAGUGCAAGUGGGAGACUGUUGGAAUUAUGCCCUAGAGGCAAUGAUAAAUAAGUUAUUAUUAUAAUUCAUGUAUCAAGAUAAUCAUUUAUUAUCCAUGCUAUAUAUGUAUUGAAUGAAGACUUAGAUACAUGUGUGGAUACAUAGACAAAACACCGUCCCUAGCAAGCCUCUAGGUGGCUAGCCAGUUGAUCAAGGAUAGUCAGGGUCUUCUGACUAUGUACAAGGUGUUGUUGCUUGAUAACUAGAUCACAUCAUUGGGAGAAUCAUGUGAUGGACUAGACCCAAACUAAUAGACGUAGCAUGUUGAUCGUGUCAUUUUGUUGCUACUAUUUUCUGUGUGUCCAGUAUUUGUUCCUAUGACCAUGAGAUCAUAUAACUCACUGACACCGGANNNNNNNNNNAGGUGACUAUAUAGAUGCUCUACAGGUAUCUUUGAAGGUGUUCGUUGAGUUAGUAUGGAUCGAGACUGGGAUUUCUCACUCUGUGUGACGAAGAAGUAUCUCGGAACCCACUCGGUAAUACAACAUCACACACAAGCCUUGCAAGCAAUGUGACNNNNNNNNNNGACAGGUAUCUUCGAAGGUGUUCGUUGAGUUAGUAUGGAUCGAGACAGGGAUUUGUCACUCCGUGUGACGGAGAGGUAUCUCGGGGCCCACUCGGNNNNNNNNNNGUGUUCAUUGAGUUAGUAUGGAUAGAGAUUGGGAUUUGUCGCUCCGUGUGAUGGAGAGGUAUCUCGGGGCCCACUCGGUAAUACAACAUCACACACAAGCCUUGCAAGCAAUGUGACUUAGUGUAAGUUGCGGGAUCUUGUAUUACGGAACGAGUAAAGAGACUUGUCGGUAAACGAGAUUGAAAUAGGUAUGCGGAUACUGACGAUCGAAUCUCGGGCAAGUAACAUACCGAAGGACAAAGGGAAUGACAUACAGGAUNNNNNNNNNNUUGAAUCCUUGGCACUGAGGUUCAAAUGAUAAGAUCUUCGUAGAAUAUGUAGGAUCCAAUAUGGGCAUCCAGGUCCCGCUAUUGGAUAUUGACCGAGGAGUCUCUCGGGUCAUGUCUNNNNNNNNNNNNNNNNNNNNNNNNNNNNNNNNNNNNNNNNNNCAUCCAGUAUGGGCAUCCAGGUCCCGCUACUGGAUAUUGACCGAGGAGUCUCUCGGGUCAUGUCUACAUAGUUCUCGANNNNNNNNNNCAGGUUCCGCUAUUGGAUAUUGACCGAGGAGUCACUCGGGUCAUGUCUACAUAGUUCUCGAACUCGCAGGGUCUGCACACUUAACGUUCGAAGUUGUUUUAUGCGUAUUUGAGUUAUAUGGUUGGUUACCGAANNNNNNNNNNAUGUAGGAUCCAAUAUGGGCAUCCAGGUCCCGUUAUUGGAUAUUGACCGAGGAGUCCCUCGGGUCAUGUCUACAUAGUUCUCGAACCCGCAGGGUCUGCACACUUAAGGUUCGACGUUGUUUUAUGCGUAUUUGAGUUAUAUGGUUGGUUACCGAAUGUUGUUCGGAGUCCCGGAUGAGAUCACGGACGUCACGAGGGUUUCCGGAAUGGUCCGGAGACGAAGAUUGAUAUAUAGGAUGACCUCAUUUGAGUACCGGAAGGUUUUCGGAAUUACCGGGAAUGACGAAUGGGUUCCGGAUGUUCACCGGGGGGCAUCCCANNNNNNNNNNAGAAUGUACCGGGAAUGACGAAUGGGUUCCGGAUGUUCACCGGGGGGCAUCCCACCCCGGGGAAGCCCAUAGGCCUUAGGGGUGCCGCAACAGCCCUUAGUGGGAUGGUGGGCAAGCCCAAAAAGGCCCCUGCGCAGGAGAUAAGAAAAUCAAAGAGAAAAAAGGGGGAAGUGGGAAGGAAGGGAAGGACUCCACCUUCCAAUCCUAGUUGGNNNNNNNNNNGCACCAGCCCUUAGUGGGCUGGUGGGACAGACCAAGAAGGCCCUGUGCGCCAUAGGAAGAAAAUCAAAGAGAAAAGAAAAAAAAGAGGAGGUGUGAAAAAGGGGAAGGACUCCUCCUUCCAAACCUAGUUGGAUUCGGUUUGGAAGGGGAGGACUCCCCCCCCUUGNNNNNNNNNNCUCCUCCCCCCCCUUCGGCCGAACCCCUUGGGCUCCUUGAGCCCCAAGGAAAGGCCCCUCCCCUCCCACCUAUAUAUACGGAGGGUUUAGGGCUGAUUUGAGACAACUUUUUCACGGCAGCCCGACCACAUACCUCCACGGUUUUUCCUCUAGAUCGCGUUUCUGCUAAGUUCGGGCGGAGCCCUGCUGAGAUUAGAUCACCACCAACCUCUGGAGCGCCGUCACGCUGCCGGAGAACUCAUCUACCUCUCCGUCUCUCUNNNNNNNNNNCUUUUAGGGCUGAUUUGACACAACUUUUCCACGGCAACCCGACCACAUACCUCCACGGUUUUUCCUCUCGAUCGCGUUUCUACGGAGCUCGGGCGGAGCCCUGCCGAGAUCAGAUCACCACCAACCUCCGNNNNNNNNNNUGUAGAAUAUGUAGGAUCCAAUAUGUGCAUCCACGUCCCGCUAUUGGAUAUUGACCUGGGAGUCCCUCAGGUCAUGUCUACAUAGUUCUCGAACCCGCAGGGUCUGNNNNNNNNNNNNNNNNNNNNNNNNNNNNNNNNNNNNNNNNNNNNNNNNNNNNNNNNNNNNNNNNNNNNNNNNNNNNNNNNNNNNNNNNNNNNNNNNNNNNCGCAUCUUACUUACGCAAACACCACAACGGAGAUAUAUAAAUUGCUAUUUAACCUCAUCUAAGGACCUCCUCAGUCAAAUCCGAUUCAACUAAAGUUGGAGAAACUGACACUUUCCAGUCAUCUUUGAGCAACGGGGUUACUCGUAGCGAUGAAACCAGUCUCUCGUAAGCGUACGAGUAAUGUCGGUCCAAGCCGCUUCAAUCCAACAAUACCGCGGAAUCAAGAAAAGACUAAGGAGGGCAGCAAAACGCACAUCACCGCCCACAAAAACUUUUGUGUUCUACUCGAGAAGACAUCUACGCAUGAACCUAGCUCAUGAUGCCACUGUUGGGGAACGUCGCAUGGGAAACAAAAAAUAUCCUACGCGCACGAAGACCUAUCAUGGUGAUGUCCAUCUACGAGAGGGNNNNNNNNNNCCUUUUGUGUUCUACUCGAGAAGACAUCUACGCAUGAACCUAGCUCUGAUUCCACUGUAGGGGAACGUCGCAUGGGAAACAAAAAUUUUCCUACGCGCACGAAGACCUAUCAUGGUGAUGUCCAUCUACGAGAGGGGAUAUUCGGUCUACGUACCCUUGUAGACCGCACAGCAGAAGCGUUAGUGAACGCGGUUGAUGUAGUGGAACGUCCUCACGUUCCUCGAUCCGCCCCGCGAACCGUCCCGCGAUCAGUCCCACGAUCUAGUGCCGAACGAACGGCACCUCCGCGUCCAGCACACGUACAGCUCGACGAUGAUCUCGGCCUUCUUGAUCCAGCAANNNNNNNNNNNNNNNNNNNNNNNNNNNNNNNNNNNNNNNNNNNNNNNNNNNNNNNNNNNNNNNNNNNNNNNNNNNNNNNNNNNNNNNNNNNNNNNNNNNNUCACGUGAUUCUCCCAAUGACGUGAUCCAGUUAUCAAGCAACAACACCUUGUUCAUAAUCAGAAGACACUGACUAUCAUCGAUCAACUGGCUAGCCAACUAGAGGCAUGCUAGGGACGGUGUUUUGUCUAUGUAUCCACACAUGUAAAUGAGUCUUCAUUCAAUACAAUUAUAGCAUGGAUAAUAAACUAUUAUCUUGAUACAGGAAUUAUAAUAAUAACUAUAUUUAUUAUUGCCUCUAGGGCAUAAUUCCAACACCAUUUGUGGUUGCGAUCCACCUUUUGGUGAAGACUGAGGAGGAGCUCUCUGGUAUUCAACACGCGAGGAGGAACGGGGCUUGCUGGACGAGUCUCAGUAUCGUCCCAUGAAGAAUAAGCUUCUAGCUCUCUGAACUGGCCAUCAAGGAGCCUACUACCUUGAAUGGUCUCGAAAGUCUUCUUGUUGACCCGGAUAGGAGGCAUAUAACCAACAUGGUUUUGACAAUCAGCGUGAAUGUUGAUGCCUGUCCUUGUCCUGAUGAAUCUCAUGAUCCACGGGGCAUAUAUCUUGUGAUCAAAGGGGCACAUGGCAUUGUCGGCCAAAGUCCUCUAGAAGAAAUCAUGGAUAUUGAUAGGAAUACCGUGAAUGAUGUUGAAGAGGAUAUUCUUCAUGAGGCCUACAACAUCUUCUUCAUCAUCAUGACCUUUGAUCGGUGCGAGCACACUGCAGAGGAUUCUGUAGACAGACCUGGGUGUGUACUUGAGCUCGUGGACGAGGAAGGUUGUUCUUGAAGAUUUGCCUUCAACAAAAGGCUUCAUGAGGACUUCCAUCAUUCCAUUUGGCAGCUCACGCUCACCAUAAAGCUUCACAGCCCCAUCUGAGGGAAUUGGUACGGGCAGUUCUCUGAGGAGUUCAGUAGCAGGAGCCUUGUAUUGAGUGUUUUGUGACAUCGAGUCAAACACCAAAGUGUUGAUGUCUUCAGGGUUGCCAGAUAUGUGAAGAGUGGCAUAGAACUGAAGAAUUAGCUCGUUGUUCCAGUCAUAUAUAUCGGAGCACAUUGGGAGCAGACCUGCAUCAUGGAGUACACUAAGGACUGGCUCCAGGCAAGGUAUUGCUUCAAGCUCAACAUGAGGAAUAUGCCUGUGCUGGAAUAUCUUGUUUCGUCCACAGAGCACAGAGGCAUAGUAGUUCAUCUGAGUCCUAGUCCAAAACUUCAGAUGCCUCAUUUGAGGUUUGUCAUAGGGGUUCUCUCCGAUGAAGUACAUGCGUUCUUCAAAGAAAUUUUCUUUCUGAAACUUUGGACGCUUGGAGAAUGGCUCACGCUGAACUGGCUAAAGAUUUUAUUGGGGAAUAGGAGGGGAGACAACAAUAGCAGUCUCUGCGUUGAGCACAACGAAUGCAUUGUCUUGGGCGGGUGCAUUUUCUUCAGCAUUUUCCUUAGGGUGAGGAAUUUCAGCAGCUCGUACUUCACGCUGAGGAGAUGGUGCUUGCUCUGGCUGAGCUUCAGGCUGAGGAAUUUCUGCUUCUUUCUCAGUUGGAGGAGUUGGAUCAGCCUGUUCCUCAUCUUGAGGAGUCUGCUCAGAGUGUUGAAUUUCGUCAGCUUGAGGAUUUUCAGCUUGUUUUUCCUCAGCUGGCUUUGUGGCAGAGGCAGUUUCAUCAGCUGGUGCAGCUGAUGCUUGAACAUUUUCUGUCUGAAGAAUGAGAGGUUGAGGACUGUCGUCUAUCUGAAUUUCCUCGUCAGUGUGUUCCUCAGGGGCGACAUCCUUCAUUUCCUCAUCUGCCUUCGUAGCUGGAUCAUCAAUGACGACCAUCUCAUAGGAAGGAGCGACAUUCAGGGGCACAGGGUCCAGAGGAGCUGCUUCUUCAAUUUCUUUGAGGCGCUUUGCCUCUGUUUCUUCAACUAUUGAGGAGGCUUUUCUCUUCUUGGCUUCCUUUUUAGCAGACCUUGUUUUCUUCACGUAUGAUGCAGACGGAAUCAUCUUCUUCACCUUUUAAGCUUUUGGUGAAGGUGUUCUCUCUACAGUUUCUUCAGCUGGUAUUGAGGAACCAGCUGGAACAGAGUCAUCGGCCUGCUUUGAUGAAGCAGCUGGAUCAGGAGCAGUCUCAUCAGCGACAUCAAAUUUAUCAGUUGGAGUUUUCAUGAUGAUUUCUUCAAUGGCCGGUUCAUCAACACGACGCUCUUGGUGUACUUUCUCAGCUUGAGGAGUUUCCUCCUCAUGAGGAGAUUCAUCUGCUGGCUCCUCAAUCAAGGGCUGAGGAGUUGGUGCUGGGGGUGCGGCUCUCUGGUUGUAGUCAUCAACAGCACUAGUGGCCAGCUUGAUGAAAUUGCUCUUGAGGCUUUUGCGAUGUGAUAGCUUGGCAUACUUGUCAGUCAAUUUUUGCAGCUCUGCCUGUGUUGUCACCAGUGCACCAGGAGUCAGGUUGAGGAGAUUCUGCCUGAGGAAUUUCUCCUUUUUGAUCUUUGCAACUUUUGCCUACUUGGCCUGCUGUUCUUUCCACUUGGCUUCAUUGAUGAAAGUGGUCACCAUGUGACUGAUGCCAGGCGGAAGCUUCAAGUCAUCAAUUGGAGUGUUUUGGUCCUCAUACCAGAUGUUGAUGUAGUCAAGGAGGACCUUGAGGUCCAUGGCCAGAGGAAUGGCACUGCCUGAUGCUUGAGCUACAGUUUCUUGCUUGUUUCUCAUGAUGGCUUGCAGGGUUUCAUCAUCAAAUUCAUCACUUCCCUCUGAUGCAGACGGGACUGUGAUGAUUUUGCUGGGGCUGGGCAGAGGUGCAUGUUCCGCAGUUACCAAAGUCUUCGCAGGAGGUGUUGAAGACUUUGUCUCCGAGCUGGUUGCAGCUGGGAGUGAGGAGCUGGAGCUGGCGGUCGUAGGCUUCACGACUUGCUUCUGUACUGGUUUCUCUUGAGGCUUUGGAGGUGGAGCUGAGGAGAUUGGUACUGAUGGUUUUGGUGCUGAAGGUUUUGGUGUUGAAGAUUUUGGUAAUGAGGGUUUUGGUGGUGAGGGUUUUGUGACAGAAGCCUGAGCAGACUUCUCUUGAGGCUUUGGAGCCCUUGGCUUUGAUGGCAGAGACUGCAUUUGAGGAAUUUCUGAGCCUGAGGUUUCUGCAGCUGAGGAAUUAGCAGCACCUGAGGAUUCAUUAAAUUUCCUCACUGCAGCUUCUGCCUGCUUCUUGAGCUUGGCCAGAUGCUUUUCUUUCUCAUCUGGAUAGUAAUCAAUGGUCAUGAGGCUUGAGGGAUGUGCUACUUGAUGAUCCUCAAGUGGGGCCCUUCUGCUAGGAGGCUUCAAAGCGAAUUUCUUCGCAUAUUUGGGAGUCACAAACCUGUACUCCUUCCAUUCCUUCGCCCAUCGGUGUUCAAUCUUCUGCAGCCGUAUCUUUCUCUUGGCCAUUGUCUCAUUUUCUUCAGGCAUACAAUAGUCCAAGUAAAUGUCCUCAGGGAUAUCAGCAGCUGUGUUUUGCUCAAGUUUCUUUCCUCCCUUCUGUUUUCUGUCUUCCUCCAUUUUCUUCAGUUGAGGAUUUUGCUGAUGAUUUUGAACUCUUGAGGAUUCUGAUGAGCCUUGAAGAGUUUCUUCCAGAAACGCUACAAAUGAGUAAAUGUGAUGAGAACCGAGAGAUUCAUCAGCUGACAUGUGUGUACCUGUGAACAGAGUAUAGUUGCGAGGAAUUUGGAGAGGUCAUAUACGUUCUCAGAUUUGAAGAAAAUGAAAAAGUUUGAUAGUUUGAGGAAUAUAACCAGUGGUUGAGGAAUUUGCCUAAGCAUACUGUUCUUGGGUUCCAGAGUUGUACAGAUCCGAAAAUUCGCACAAUUGAGGAAUCUCGUGAAAAUCUUAGAUGCUUAGCAUAGUUCAUCAAUGAUUGUGGUGAUAGGUAGUGUUUGAGGAAUCAUGUGCGCAUCGUAUCUUGAGGAAAAACAGAUUUCACAUAGAAGAUGUAAAAUUUUAGAUCUAAUCUUGCUGUAAAAAUGGGAUAUAUUUGUUGGGGAAAGUCGCAUGAGAAACAAAAAUUUUCCUACGCGCACGAAGACCUAUCAUGGUGAUGUCCAUCUACGAGAGGGGAUUUCCGAUCUACGUACCCUUGUAGAUCGCACAGCAGAAGUGUUAAGAAACACGGUUGAUGUAGUGGAACGUCCUCACGUCCCUCGAUCCGCCCCGCGAACNNNNNNNNNNNNNNNNNNNNNNNNNNNNNNNNNNNNNNNNNNNNNNNNNNNNNNNNNNNNNNNNNNNNNNNNNNNNNNNNNNNNNNNNNNNNNNNNNNNNUUUACGUCGCACUCGGGGGCUUAGCUGCGAUCCUGCAUCGCCUAAGUACUAACUUCCUCCGAGUGUGCACUUCACGUCGCACUCGAGGACUUAGCUGCGAUCCUGCAUCGCCUAAGUAUUAACUAUCUCCGAGUGUGCACUUCACGUCGCACUCGGGGGCUUAGCUGCGAUCCUGCAUCGCCUAAGUAUUAACUUCCUCCGAGUGUGCACUUUACGUCGCACUCGGGGGCUUAGCUGCGAUCCUGCAUCGCCUAAGUAUUAACUUCCUCCGAGUGUGCACUUCACGUCGCACUCGGGAACUUAGCUGCGAUCUUGCAUCGCCUAAGUAUUAACUAUCUCCGAGUGUGCACUUCACGUCGCACUCGGGGACUUAGCUGCGAUCCCGAAUCACCUAAGUAACACCUUCCUUCGAGUGUGCACUUUACGUCGCACUCGGGGGCUUAGCUGCGAUCCUGCAUCGCCUAAGUAUUAAUUUCCUUCGAGUGUGCACUUCACGUCACACUCGAGGACUUAGCUGCGAUCCUGCAUCGCCUAAGUACUAAUCGCUCCUCCGAGUGUGCUCUAUACGUUACACUCGGGAACUUAGCACUGAUCAUGAAUCACCUAAGUCCUAAUAUUCUACGAGUACACAUUAAGUGUUCAACUCCAAACAGCAUUCACGCAAAAGAAUAAGUGUUUUCAUUGUGACUACCAGCAGUCUAGAAACGAUAACAGACUCGGUGCGGAUCAAGCUUACCCGCAGCGAUCUAAAAGUAUGACGGCCAACAGAAGUGGCCAGAAUAUCUUACAGACAAACACUCAGCAUACCGAGGAUAGAGUUCGAUCAUGAGUCAGCUGGGCCCGCGUCAGGACUCGAAGGUUCCACAAAGGUAUCCAGGUCGAUUCCAUUAGCAAUGCGGGUCGCAGUCUCCAGGAAUGUCUCCAUGAAGUCUUCGAAUUGAAGCUUCUUCGUGUUGGCGACUUUCAAGGCUUUCAGCUUAUCUUCCCGAACUUCUUUGCAAUGGACUCGGACCAAGGACAGCGCCACAUCAGCACCGCAACGCGCUGCCGAUUUCUUCCAAGAUUGCACUCGGCUCGGCACCUCCUCCAGUUGGCUCGUUAGGGUCUCCAUCUCCUCCCGCGACUCGUCUUCCGGCCAAAGUUCCUUGUUAAUUCGGCCAACGACUUCUCUCAGUCGACCGAUGAAAGGACCUACUUUGCUAGUGCGGAUUUGUGCUCGAAGCAGAUCCCGAUUGGCGUCCUCACCGAGUGGAACUUUGUCCUUAACAGACCGUUCCACAGCCGCCAUUUCAGCUUCAGGGUCUCUGCAAAACUCUGCCACCAACAAGCAAGCAGGCAAUGAAAACCAAAUGUACGACACACGAUAAAGCCACUCGACAAAGCAUAAGACUUACCAGCCAGACAAGUCAUCAUUUGCUCAGCCCAGUCGGUGACAUACUUCUCUUGAGCUAUGCACCUUUUGUUCAGGACGCCCAUCUGAUUAUGCAGAUCGGUCCUAUGUUUCCUCAUCAUCUGCGUCUCCGUCGUCAAUACCUUGUUUGCCUCCCGAGCUUCUUCCACGGACUUUUCUCGCGCUUCCAGAGCGUCCUUCAUACCAGCCAUGGCAAGCAUUGCAGCUUCCAGUUCACCAGCAUAUUGAUUCCUCUCCGCUCUGAGGGCUUCAUACGAAGUUCCCAUUUCACAAGUUUUCUGCACCAAACAAACAAAGGGCAGUCAGCAAGUUUAUCAGUUCACACACUAAGUUUUUCAGACCCCUGCCGACGCAAGCAGUCGACAGCGGUCUCGGGGACUACACCCAGUGGGUUCACUGAGAGUGACCCCACUGACACGCACCUCAAGCAGGUCCGCCCUAUUGAGGUGCACAUUUUCACCUAUGCCUCCGAGGCUAAAACUACUCGACUUGUGUGUAGUUUACUCUAGAGACUCUUACCGCAAGAGUGCUCCGACUGCAGUAAAUACUCGCACUCGGAAUUCUUGUCUACGGACACGAUAAACAUAAAGGCCAAACGUAUAAAGACAACUGUCGGUGCAAGCACUCGACAGAAGUCUCGGGGACUACACCCACUGGGUUCACUCGGAGUGAACCCAUUGCAAACUACAGACAACACCCAGUGGGUUACAGAAGAAAAGUAAGUACUUACUAGGUUACUUACUCGGAUGUCAUUGCGCAGCUCCAAGCUCCGCCGAUAUAAAGCUGCAGCGGAGUCAUAAACCCUCUUGGCCUCCCCGGCCAUCAGCUCCGCCUGAACCAUGGUCCCCUUGACCGCUCCCACCUGCUCCUCCGGGACACACCGAAUGUUGAAUUCGGCGUUCGACGAACCGGGAAUCGGGGGGAGAUCCUGGUUCAUCCCAAGGUUUGCCCCAGUAGGUUCCUCACCCGUCAGCGCCGGUUCAGUCGGCGAAGGCACUUCGUUUGGUAGAGCGUCGGCGGCAGGGGCGGCGGCAGGAGGAGCAGCCUCAGGGACAGGCUCUUCGACGGGCUCCGCGGUCGGGUCAGCUCUCCCCCCUGACAAGCCGAAUAACGCAGUGCUUUAGAAGAAGAAAGAGAUGGCGCAGUCUGCAGGAAUAAAAUAUCCGACUCUCCCACAACAUACCUGGUUGUGAUGAAACGACAUUGUCCGCGUCCAUGGGGUCGUCCCCUUGGCGAGCCGGCGAGGUCGCAGAAGUGGCAACCGUGUCGAGUGAAGACCAUUCUACUUGUAAAACAAGAGUUCACUCGGUCAACAGAAAGGACCGAAAACUAGAUUCGCUUACGUGGAGGUGACGGGGAUGGCCACCCUCAUCCGCGGCAGAGCCUUCCGAGGUUUGGACUCGCUCGAUUUGGGCGCCUUGGAGGUCUGGCCCGCAGGUUCAGCGGCUGCGUCCCUGGCUCUUUUGGUACCUCGAACACUCGGUGCAGCCGGGGAAGCAGGCGGGGCACUCGGCGACACAGGGGGAAUUGAAGGGACGGCAGACUCUUGUCGACGCCUAUUCCGAUGCUCUGGCCGCGGAGGCGGCGAGUCUGGCUCUUCAUCCUUUUCCUCUUCCUCGUUGUUUUCCUCCUCCGACUCUCCGCCGUCGAAGAUGUAUUCGUCGCUCUCCACGCUUCCCUCCUGGCUGCCUUCUUCAUCUUCCUCCUCCAGUUUCCCGCUCGAGACAGGGGAGAACCAGUUGGUCCACGCCUGCAUGAAUUUCAGUCGGAAACGUUAAGCAUCACGCGGAGAUAUAAAUGAGUUGCUGAAAUCAAGGUAGUUCAACGUACUCGGCUAAUGCUACUCACCUGAUUCGGUGGAGGGUUGUCCGCACUGUAAGGCGUCACUCGGCGGGCCCCCUUGGGAUUCUCACAGGGACCCGUGAUUUGGAGCACCCCUGAGGUCACCUUCUCCUCGAGAAUGUCCUCCACGUUGGUCCGAGUGGAGUCCUCGAGUCCUGCGUAGUGCCACAUAGCGUGGUGGCGGGCUUGCAGGGGCUGGAUUCGCCGACCGAUGAAGACUUCCAGCAAGUCCAUCCCAGUGACCCCCCUCCUAACAACAUCCGCGAGUGCCUCAACCAAAGGCUGGAUGUCUUUCUUCUCCGCUUUCGAGAGAGCGAGUUUCUUGGACGGAGCAGGCCGUCCUAGACUGAAUGGAGGCAGCCCAGUCGACGCGUUCGGACAUGCUAUGUCCUGGCAGUAGAACCACGUCGACUGCCAGUUCCUAACCGACUCACUCAACUGCAGAGCAGGGUAAAUACUCCGAUUCUUCUUCUGAAACCCUAAACCCCCACAGAGCUGGAGGAGUGCGUCUUGUCAUCCGAUUGACUAAGACGUUUUAUGGUUUGGGAGCGGACGGAAAAGAUGUGUUUGAAUAAACCCCAAUGGGGAGGACAACCAAUAAAGCAUUCGCAUAAAACGAUGAAGGCAGAAAUGUGUACGAUGGCAUUCGGAGGGAAAUGAUGGAGUUGUGCACCAAAAUGAUUCAUGAUACCCUUGAAGAAAGGGUGGGGGGGCACAGAGAAACCUCGGUGAACGUGGCUGAGGAGCAGGACGCGCUCCCCCUCCCGUGGCGCCGGCUCAACCUCGUCGUCCGCCGGCAACCUCCAAGACUUAUGCACGAGCUGGCCGUGCUCUACCAGCUCCAGCAGGUCCCCCUCCGUCACUGUGGAGGGGAGAAAGUCUCCCUGGAUCCAUCCCGCUGGCAAUGGCCGCUGCCGACGCUGAGCAGCCGCCGCCUUGCCCUUCUUCUUCCUUGCCUCCAUCUUGCUGGUCUGGCCCUUGGUCAUGGCGGCGAUGGCGAGCUUUCGAGAAGGAUGGGAAGGGAAAGGUGUAUGAGCGCAAGAGGUGGCGAGGGAGACGGAGCAAGCAAGAGCAGAAGAUUCGGCGAGCGUAACCGAAGGGUCUCGUCGGCCAGAGUUAAAUAGAACACCGACUGGGUCGCUGGCGAGCGGGCCCGAAAUCUUAUCCGCCCAACCAGCCGCGGCGAUAUCGGCGGAAGAGUUGAAGGCGCGAGAUCGAGGAGUCAUGCGCUACUCGAGCGCGCUGACGUCGCCCCCGCUAAGCGCACGGAACCCGAAAUUUGAGAUCCCGGAAAAUCCGCCGCUGUUAGUUGACCGGUCGUGUCAAAAGAUGCCGCGAAGGCACUCGGUUCCCGACAGUCCGUUCCGCAAAACACAUUCACUCGAAUCAUUGGCCAGGAGAGAUAGAAUGGAUAGAGGCAAGCAACGCCCAAGCCGAACCUAGUCCAGUCGGAUCUGAGCAUCGAGCACUGCUUUGACGUUUCAACCCCAAUUCAUUCGGGGACUANNNNNNNNNNNNNNNNNNNNNNNNNNNNNNNNNNNNNNNNNNNNNNNNNNNNNNNNNNNNNNNNNNNNNNNNNNNNNNNNNNNNNNNNNNNNNNNNNNNNCUGAUCUAGAGAUAAAACUAUGUGGAAUAGGCUAGAGUUGCACGUGGCAAAGUUGUGUCUCAAAAAGCACUAAACCACCACUAUGUAUAGGAGGGAGGGGGAGGGGCUAACCUUGAGGGACAAGGCCCUCAAGGUGCGCCAGCCGCAAGGAGGAGGAGGACUCCUCCUCCAAUUCGGUUUGGGAAGGAGGAGUCCUCCUCUUCCUUCCCACCUCCCUCUUUCCUUUUUCUUUUUAUUUUCUUUUGGUAUUUUCUUAUGUGGUGACAUAGCCCUCAUGGGCUGACUCCACCAGCCCAAUAAGGACUUGUCGAGCCACCCUUGGGCCUUGGGCUCACUCUCGGGUGGGUGGGCCCCUCCCAGUAAACUCCCGGUACACUCUCGGAAUUGCCCAAAACUUUCCGGUGAGCAAAUGAAACUGUCCUAUAUAUCAAUCUUCGUUUUCGGACCAUUCCGGAAACCCUUGUGACGUACGUGAUCUCAUUUGGGACUCCGAACAACAUUCGGUAACCACACAUAUAACUCAACUAUACUAAAACAUCAUCGAACCUUAAGUGUGCAUACCCUGGGGGUUCGAGAACUAUGUAGACAUGACCCGAGGCACUCCUCGGUCAAUAUCCAAUAGCGGGACAUGGAUGCCCAUAUUGGAUCCUAUAUAUUCUCCGAAGAUCUUAUCGGUUGAACCUCAGUGUCAACGAUUCAUAUAAUCUCGUAUGUCAUUCCCUUUGUCCUUUGGUAUGUUACUUGCCCGAGAUUCGAUCGUCGGUAUCCACAUACCUAUUUCAAUCUCGUUACCGGCAAGUCUCUUUACUCGUUCCAUAAUACAAGAUCCCGUGACUUACAUUUAGUCAAAUUGCUUGCAAGGCUUGUGUGUGAUGUUGUAUUACCGAGUGGGCCCCGAGAUACCUCUCCGUCACACGGAGUGACAAAUCCCAGUCUUGAUCCAUACUAACUCAACGGACACCUUCGGAGAUACCUGUAGAGCACCUUUAUAGUCACCCAGUUAAGUUGCGACAUUUGAUGCACACAAGGUAUUCCUCCAGUGCCAGUGAGUUAUAUGAUCUCAUGGUCAUAGGAAUAAAUACUUGACAUGCAGAAAACAAUAGCAAUAAAACGACACGAUCAAUAUGCUAUGUUCAUAGUUUGGGUCUACUCCAUCACAUGAUUCUCCUAAUGAUGUGAUCCCGUUAUCAAGCGACAACACUUGUCUGUGGUCAGAAAACCUUGACCAUCUUUGAUCAAUGAGCUAGUCAACUAGAGACUUACUAGGGACAAUGUUUUGUCUAUGUAUCCACACAUGUAUCUAUGUUUCCAAUCAAUACAAUUAUAGCAUGGAUAAUAAACGAUUAUCAUGAACAAAGAAAUAUAAUAAUAACUAAUUUAUUAUUGCCUCUAGGGCAUAUUUCCAACAGUCUCCCACUUGCACUAGAGUCAAUAAUCUAGUUCACAUCACCAUGUGAUUUUAACGAAUCCAAUACCCAUACAGUUCUGGGGUUUGAUCACGUCUUGCUCGUGAGAGAGGUUUUAGUCAAUGGUUCUCAAUCGUUCAGAUCCGUGUGUGCUUUACAAAUUUUUAUGUCAUCUUAUAGAUGCUGCUACUACGUGCUAUUCGGAAAUACUCCAAAUUUCUACUUUACUAUAUGAAUCCGUUUCACUACUUAGAGUUAUUCGGAUUAGUGUCAAAGCUUGCAUUGACGUAACCCUUUACGAUGAACUCUUUAAUCACCUCCAUAAUCGAGAAAAAUUCCUUAGUCCACCAGUUACUAAGGAUAACUUUGACCGCUGUUUUAGUGUUCAAACCUAGAUCACCUUUUGUACCCCUUGACAGACUCAUGGCAAGGCACACAUCAGGUGCGGUACACAGCUUGGCAUACUUUAGAGCCUACGGCUAAGGCAUAGGGGACGACCUUCAUCCUUUCUCUUUCUUCUGUCGUGGUCGGGCUUUGAGUCUUACUCAAAUUCACACCUUACAACACAACCAAGAACUCCUUUGCUGGUCUAUUUUGAACUCCUUCAAAAACUUGUCAAGGUAUGCAUUUCAUUGAAAGUUCUAUUAAGCGUUUUGAUCUAUCUCUAUAGAUCUUGAAGAUCAAUGUUCAAGUAGCUCUAUCCACGUUUUCCUUUGAAAAACUCCUUUCAAACAACCCUUUAUGCUUCACAGAAAUUCUACAUUACUUCUGAUCUACAAUAUGCCAACCACAUAUACUUAUCAAAAAUUUAUAGUGCUCCCACUCACUUCUUUGGAAAUACAAGUUUCUCAUAAACCUUGUACAAACCCAAAAGCUUUGAUCAUCUCAUCAAAGCGUAUAUUCCAACUCCGAGAUGCUUGCACCAGUCCAUAGAAGGAUCACUGGAGCUUGCAUACUUGUUAGCAUCCUUAGGAUCGGCAAACCCUUCUAGUUGUAUCACAUACAACCUUUCCUCAAGGAAACCGUCGAGGAAACAAUGUUUUGACAUCCUAUGUGCAAUAUUUCACAAACAAUGCAGCAAUUGCUAACAUAAUUCCAACAGAUUUUUAGCAUCGCUAUGAGUGAGAAAGUCUCAUCGUAGUCAACUCUUUGAAUUUGUCGAAAACAUCUUUGCGAUAAGUCGGGCUUUUCUUAAUGGUGACUUUUCACCAUCAUCGUCCGUCUUCCCUGUAAAGAUCCAUCUUUACUUAACAGUCCUACGACCAUCAAGUAGUUCUUCCAAAGUCCACACUUUGGUUUCAUACAUGGAUCCUCUCUCGGAUUUCAUGGCCUCCAGCCAUUUGUCGGAAUCCGGGUCAACCAUCGCUUCUCCAUAGCUCGUAGGUUCAUUGUUGUUCAACAACAUGACCUCCAAGACAAGGUUACCGUACCACUCUGUAGUAGUAUGCGGCCUUGUCGACCUACGAGGUUUGUAGUAACUUGAUCCGAAGCUCAAUGAUCACCAUCAUCAAUUUCCACUUCAAUUGGUGUAGGUGCCACACGAACAACUUCCUGCGCCGUGCUACAUACUGGUUGAAGUGACGGUUCACUAACCUCAUCAAGUUCCACCACCCUCCCACUCAAUUCUUUCGACAGAAACCUUUCCUCAAGAAAGGACCCAUUUCUAGAAACAAACACUUCGCUUCCGGAUCUAAGAUAGGAGAUGUACCCAACCGUUUUGGAUAUCCUAUGAAGAUGCAUUUAUCCGCUUUGGGUUCGAGGUUUAUCAGACUGAAUUUUUUUCACAUAAGCAUCGCAGCCCCAAACUUUUAAGAAACGAUAGCUUAGGUUUCUCCAAACCAUAGUCUAUACUGUGUCAUCUCAACGGAAAUACGCGGUGCCCUAUUUAAAGUGAAUGCGAUUGUCUCAAAUGCAUAACCCAUAAAUGAUAGUGGUAAUUCGAUAAGAGACAUCAUAGUAUGCACCAUAUCAAAUAGGGCACGGCUAUGACGUUUGGACACACCAUCACACUAUGGUGUUUCAGGUGGCAUGAAUUGCGAAACAAUUUCCACAUUGUCUCAAUUGUGUACCAAAACUCGCAACUCAGAUAUUCAUCUCUAUGAUCAUAUCGUAGAUAGUUUAUCCUCUUGUCACGACGAUCUUGACUCUGAAAUAGCUUUGAACUUUUCAAUAUUUCAGACUUGUGAUUCAUCAAGUAAAUACUCCUGUAUCUACUCAAGUCGUCAUUGAAGUAAGAACAUAACGAUAUCCACUGCGUGCCUGAGCACUUAUUGGACUGCACACAUCAAAUAUGUAUUACUUCCAACGAGUUACUCUCUUGUUCCAUGUGGUAUGAUUUUGCAUGUCUCAAGUGAUUGGAAAUCAAGUGAGUCCAAACGAUCCAUCUGCAUGGAGUUUCUUCAUGCAUUUUACACCAACAUGACUCAAGCGGCACUGCCACAAGUGGUACUAUCAUUAUUACUUUGUAUCUUUUGGCACCAAUAUUAUGAACAUGUGUAACACUACGAUCGAUAUUCAAUAAACCAUUGAAGGUAAUUAUUCAAGUAAAUAGAAUAACCAUUAUUAUCUUUAAAUGAAUAAUCGUAUUGCAAUAAACACGAUCCAAUCAUGUUCAUGCUCAACGCAAAACACCAAAUAACAAUUAUUUAGGUCUAACACCAAUCCCCAUAGUAGAGGGAGCGUGCGAUGUUUGAUCACAUCAACCUUGGAAACACUUCCAACACUUAUCAUCACCUCGCCUUUAGCUAGUCUCCGUUUAUUCCGUAGCUUUUAUUUCAAGUUGCUAAUCACUUAGAAAUCGAAUCGUAUCUAAUACCCAUGUGCUACUAGGAGUACUAGUAAAGUAUACAUCAAUAUCAUGUAUAUUAAAUAUAUUUCUGUUGAAUUCGCCAGCCUUCUCAUCUACCAAGUAUCUAGGGUAGCUCCGCCACAGUGACCGUUCCCCUCAUAACAGAAGCACUUAGUCUCGGGUUUGGGUUCAAUCUUGGGUUUCUUCAUUAGAGCAGCAACUGGUUUGCCGUUUCAUACAGUAUCCCUUCUAGCCCUUACCCUUCUUGAAACUAGUGGUUUUACUAACCAUCAACAAUUGAUGCUCCUUCUUGAUUUCUACUUUUGUAGUGUCAAACAUUGCGAAUUGCUCAAGGAUCAUCAUAUCUAUCCUUGAUAUGUUAUAGUUCAUCACGAAGCUCUAGCAGCUUAGUGGCACUGACUUUGGAGAACCAUCACUAUCUCAUCUGGAAGAUUAACUCCCACUACAUUCAAGCGAUUGUUGUACUCAGACAAUCUAAGAACUGUUGGGGAACGUCGCAUGGGAAACAAAAAAAUUCCUACGCACACGCAAUACCUAUCAUGGUGAUGUUCGUCUAUGAGAGGAGAUUUCCGAUCUACGUAUCCUUGUAGAUCGCACAGCAGAAGCGUUAAGAAACGCGGUUAAUGUAGUGGAACGUCCUCACGUCCCUCGAUCCGCCCCGCGAGCUGUCCCACAAACCGUCCCACGAUCCAUCCCGCGAUACGUCCCAUGAACCAUCUGGAUCUAGUGUCGAACAGACGGCACCUCCGCGUUCAGCACACGUACAACUCGACGAUGAUCUCGGCCUUCUUGAUCCAGCAAGAGAGACGGAGAGGUAGAUGAGUUCUCCGACAGCGUGACGGCGCUCCGGAGGUUGUUGAUGAUCUAUCUCAGCAGGGCUCCGCCCGAGCUCCGCAGAAAUACGAUCUAGAGGGAAAACCGUGGAGGUAUGUGGUCGGGCUGCCGUGGCAAAGUUGUGUCAAAUCAGCCCUAAUACCUCAGUAUAUAUAGGAGGGAGGGGGAGGGACCUGCCUUGAGGCUCAAGAGAGCCCCAAGGGGUCAGCCGAAGCAAGGGGGAGAGUCCUCCCCUUCCAAUCCUAGUCCAACUAGGAUUGGAAGGUGGAGUCCUUCUCCACUUUCCCACUUCCCUUUUUUUUCUCUUUGAUUUUUCUUCUCCUGCGCAUAGGGCCUCUUGAGCUGUCCCACCAGCCCACUAAGGGCUGGUGCGGCACCCCUAAGGCCUAUGGGCUUCCCCCGGGUGGGCUGGCCCCCCCGGUGAACAUCCGGAACCCAUUCGUCACUCCACGUACAUUCCCGGUAAUGCCGAAAACUUUCCGGUAAUCAAAUGAGGUCAUCCUAUACAUCAAUCUUCCUUCCUGGACCAUUCCGAAAACCCUCGUGACGUCCGUGAUCUCAUCCGGGACUCCAAAAAACAUUCGGUAACCAACCAUAUAACUCAAAUACGCAUAAAACAAUGUCGAACCUUAAGUGUGCACACCCUGCGGGUUCGAGAACUAUGUAGACAUGACCCGAGAGACUCCUCGGUCAAUAUCCAAUAGCGGGACCUGGAUGACGAUAUUGGAUCCUACAUAUUCUCCGAAGAUCUUAUCGGUUGAACCUCAGUGCCAAGGAUUCAUAUAAUCCCGUAUGUCAUUCCCUUUGUCCUUCGGUAUGUUACUUGCCCGAGAUUCGAUCGUUGGUAUCGGCAUACCUAUUUCAAUCUCGUUUACCGGAAAGUCUAUUUACUCAUUCCGUAAUAAAAGAUCCCGUGACAUACACUAAGUCACAUUACUUGAAAGGCUUGUGUGUGAUGUUGUAUUACCGAGUGGGCCCCGAGAUACCUCUCCGUCACACGGAGUGACAAAUCCCAGUCUUGAUCCAUACUAACUCAACGGACACCUUCGGAGAUACCUGUAGAGUAUCUUUAUAGUGACCCAGUUACGUUGCGACGUUUCAUACACACAAGGUAUUCCUCCGGUGCCAUUGAGUUAUAUGAUCUCAUGGUCAUAGGAAUAAAUACUUGACACGCAGAAAAACAGUAGCAACAAAAUGACACGAUCAACAUGCUACGUUCAUUAGUUUGGGUCUAGUCCAUCACAUGAUUCUCCUAAUGAUGUGAUCCCGUUAUCAAGUGACAACACUUGACUAUGGUUAGGAAACCUUGACCAUCUUUGAUCAACGAGCUAGUCAACUAGAGGCUUACUAGGGACAGUGUUUUGUCUAUGUAUCCACACAUGCACUGUGUUUCCAAUCAAUACAAUUAUAGCAUGGAUAAUAAACGAUUAUCANNNNNNNNNNAUUUUGUCUAUGUAUCCACACAAGUAUUGUGUUUCCAAUCAAUACAAUUAUAGCAUGGAUAAUAAACGAUUAUCAUGAACAAAUAAAUAUAAUAAUAACUAAUUAUUAUUGCAUCUAGGGCAUAUUUCCAACAAUAUUUACCCUGGAAGGUGGGCACGAAGAACACAGAAAGUUGUGUGUGGAGAGGCUCUUCGUUCGAGUGUCCAAUGCACCCUAACUUGGUGACAGAGGACGUCUACGGCAGCGACGGACGAAGAUGGUCCGACUCUGGCGUGAUUCCGGUGACACAGAAGUCGAGGCAGUGAAGCUCUUCCUCACCGGCGACGAGACUACCAGCGGUGGCGCUAGGGUUCGGUGGAGUGUGCUGUGGCAGGAGAGCGAUGAGGCGAAGAAGAGGAUGCCGAGGGGGAUAAGGACAUAUUUAUAGCCAAAAGUUACUGUUGGCGCGAGAAUGUCGGACCAAAUAGCCCCUGCCUCUACGUCUCCGCAGGACACGUGUAGCUCCAGUACGAUGCGAUGGAGAUAGUGGAGAUCAUGGUUAUCCGAUCGUGGGAAGUGGGGGUUCAGUUACUGUGUCUUUAAAGAAACAAAUUUUGAAGAUUUGAGGAUUUUCGUAACAAAAUCAUCAGCAGACAAGGACACAGUGAGGAUUUUGAACAAAGUUUCAAGUAGAACGCAUAUGAAGAAUUGAAUAGACUCGAUGAGUAUAGCAUAGAGGGAAAGUAGGGUCCAAUCACAUUCACUUAGCAGAAACAUCAACUUGAAGAAAUAGCAACAAGUGAAUGCUGUUGAGGACUAGAAAUCACAGUCUAUCUAGUCAAAUGAAAGUCAUCAAGUGUUUUUGAGGAUUUUUGUAAUAAAUCAUCACAAUGAAGAAUAGUUGUUUUGAAGAAAAACGCAUUGUGAGGAAAUUGAUCAUUUGAAGAAAAUCAACUUGAGGAAUUUCACAUUGGGCGAUGGCGUUACCCACCAUAUAAGAAUGUUGAUUACAGACGCCGCGUACAAUUGUCGUAGGGCCCUGAGAAUCAAUUUCUUCGUUAAUUUCUUCACAUUCAGAGUGACAUUCUUCAUCAGUUGAAGAAAAUCGAUUCAUCAUGUGUUGCACAUCUAAGUCAUCAACUUUGCAUAAGUGUUAGGAUGUGUGCAUGUUUUUACAAAACAUUUGAAGACUCUAAGAUAUUUAGCUCACACCGCAACUUGCAUAACCUUUUCUCAUCCAAGGGCUUAGUGAAGAUAUCUGUCAGUUGAUCAUCAGUCUUCACAUGGUCGAUGAUGAUAUUGCCCUUGAGGACAUGGUCCCGAAGAAAAUGAUGAUGAAUCUGGAUGUGCUUGGUCUUCGAGUGCUGUACUGGGUUGUAUGCAAUCUUGAUAGCACUCUCAUUGUCACAGUAGCGAGGCACAUUCUUCAUGUUGAUGCCGUAGUCCUUGAGGGUUUGCUUCAUCCAUAGCAAUUGAGCACAACAAGAACCAGCAGCAAUGUACUCAGCUUCGGCAGUGGACAGUGAUACACAGUUCUGCUUCUUUGAGGACCAGCAAACUAGUGAUCUUCCGAGGAAAUGGCAUGUGCCAGAAGUUGACUUGCGAUUCACACGGUCACGAGCAUAGUCUGAAUCAGAAUACCCUACCAGAUGAAGAUUGGAGCCCUUGGGAUACCAUAAUCCUAGUGUUGGUGUGUGAGCUAAGUAUCGAAGAAUAUGUUUCACAGCCUUAUGGUGUGAUUCCUUCGGUUUUGCUUGAAAACAUGCACACAUGCAAACACUAAGCAUUAUAUCUGGCCUAGAUGCACAUAGAUACAAUAAAGAGCCAAUCAUAGAACGAUAUACCUGCUGAUCGAAAUCCUUACCAUUUUCAUCAGUGCCGAGGUGGUCGUUGGUAGGCAUUGGAGUCUUGGCACCUUUGCAUUCGUGCAUGUCGAAUUUCCUCAGAACAUCCUUGAGGUAUUUCUCAUGUGAUAUGAAGAUUCCAUUGCUUUGUUGACGAAUUUGAAGAACUAAGAAGAAUUUUAGCUCCCCCAUCAUGGACAUCUGAUAUUCUUCACUCAUCAUGUAGGCAAAUUCAUCACUGUAUCUUUUGUCAGUACAGCCAAAUAUGAUAUCAUCGACAUAUAUUUGACAUACAAACAGCUCAUUAUCAUAGGAUUUUGUGAAAAGAGUUGGAUCGAGUGAACCAGGUUUGAAGCCUUUCUUCAUGAGGAAUUCCUUCAAUGUAUCAUACCAUGCCCGAGGGGCUCGCUUGAGGCCAUCCAGAGCCUUUUUGAGUCUGAAGACUUUGUCUGGAUUCUUUGGAUCCUCAAAACCUGGAGGCUGAGCAACAUAUACUUCUUCCUCAAGCUUACCAUUGAGGAAUGCACUUUUCACAUCCAUUUGAUAUAAGGUGAUGUUAUGAUGAUUAUCAUAAGCAAGUAGUAUUCGAAUAGCUUCAAGUCUAGCAACAGGUGAAAAAGUUUCAUCGAAAUCUAUUCCUUCAACCUGGGUGUAGCCUUGGGCUACAAGUCGUGCCUUGUUCCUCACCACUUGACCGUCCUCAUCUUGCUUGUUUCAGAAAAUCCACUUGGUGCCGAUGAUGUUGUGCUUGCGAGGAUCUGGUCGUUUGACGAGCUCCCAUACGUCAUUCAGCUUGAAUUCAAGAAGUUUGUCUUGCAUAGCUUGGAUCCACUCAGGUUCCAGAAAAGCCUCAGCAACUUUUGAGGGUUCUGUGAUGGAUACAAAGGAAAAGUGCCCACAAAAGUUAACUAAGUGUGAAGCUUUUGAGCGAGUGAGAGGACCUAGCGCGUUGAUGUCGUUGAGGAUUUUGUCAUGUUCUACUUCGUUUGCAAUCCUCGGAUGAGCUUGUUGAGGAUUUUGUCUAGGCUGAGGAAGUGGUGCUGGUGCAAUUUCCUCAGGAGCAUCUUCUUGGUUUUUAUCAGCGAUGGGGAUCGUUUCUUCACCAAUUUCCUCAGUGGGGACAAUGUCUUCAGUAGGCUUAAGCUUUAUUGCUUCUUCAGGAGACAGCUUAUCUGGAUCAAAAGGCAAUUGCUCUCUUUGCGAGCCAUUAGUUUCAUCAAACCGCACAUCUACAGUCUCAACAACUUUGUUGUGAUAGUUGUUGAAGAAUCUAUAAGUGUGCGAGUCCUUUCCAUAACCGAGCAUAAAACCUUCAUGUGCCUUAGGUGCAAAUUUUGAGCUAUGGUGAGGAUCUCUAAUCCAGCAUUUCGCACCGAAGACUUUGAAAUAACUUACAUUGGGUUACUUGUCAGUGAGGAGUUCAUAUGAGGUUUUCUUGAGGAAUUUGUGAAGAUAUACCCUGUUGAUGAUAUGGCAUGCAGUGUUGAUUGCUUCACGCCAAAAGCGACGAGGAGUCUGAUAUUCUUCAAGCAUAGUUCUAGCCAUUUCAACCAGAGUCCUGUUCUUCCUUUCGACGACACCAUUCUGCUGAGGAGUAUAAGGAGCAGACAAUUCGUGGGUAAUACCAAGUUCAUCAAGAUAAUCAUCAAGACCAGUGUUUUUGAACUCGGUUCCAUUAUCACUCCUGAUAUGUUUGAUCUCGAUGCCAAAGUUCGUCGAGGCCCUUGAAGAAAAUCGUUCGAAGAUUUCCUGCACUUCAGUUUUAUACACUAUGAUAUGCACCCAAGUAUAUCUGGAAUAAUCAUCAACUAUGACGAAGCCAUAUAAAGAUCCUGCAUUGGUUAGUGUGGCAUAGUGAGUAGGUCCAAAUAAAUCCAUAUGAAGCAAUUCGAAUGGACGUGUAGUGGUCAUGAUGGUUUUAGAGGGAUGCUUGGAUCUGGUCAUUUUCCGAGAUUCACAAGCACCGCAGAGAUGAUCCUUGAGGAAUUUGACUAAUUCGAUGCCGAUGACAUGCUUCUUCUUCGCGAGCGUGUACAAGUUCCUCAUGCCUGCAUGACCUAGUCUUCGGUGCCACAACCAUCCUUCUGAGGUUUUUGCUAGUAAGCAAGUGGCUGGUUGAGGACCUGUAGACAAAUCAACAAUGUACAAAUCCCCUCUUCUUACACCUUUGAAGACUUUGGAUCUGUCAGAUUCCAUGAUGACUACACAUCUAUAUCUACCAAAGAUAACAAUCAUAUCAAGAUCACAAAGCAUCGAGACCGACAUAAGGUUAAAACCAAGGGAUUCAACAAGCAUCACUUUGUCCAUAUGCCUAUCCUUGGAAAUAGCCACUUUGCCAAGUCCCAAUACCUUCCUUUUACCUUUGUCAGCAUAAGUGAUUUGCUUCAGAGGUGAUGGAGUUAGUGGCAUAUUCAUCAGUAAGAUUUUAUCACCAGUCAUGUGAUGUGUGCAGCCACUAUCAAGAACCCACUCAGUAUUCUUGGGUUUGUCAUCCUGCAGAUGAAUUAGUACAACUUACCAUCUCAUAUGCUUCAGAUUUGAAGAAUAUGAUACUAAUUUCAUCAGAUCAGUAAUUUCAUCAUAACAGAAAUGUAAGGACGUGUGAAAUAUUUCUAUUUCAUGAAUCAUUAGCUUGCGUCCUAUCAAGCAUUUCCUCAGGUCUGCAGCAAAUUCUUCAGAUGAUGAUUUUCAUCUAGAGACCUGACGUGCAGAAGUGAUUAGUUUGAUUUCUUCACCACCCACAUCUGAAGGGGUGGUAAAGCGAUCAUCAUCCUGCGAGCACCAUAUGAGAAAGGUGGCAUUGAAGCCAAUGCUCUUCUCUUAACGGUAGGGUGAUUAAAGUACUCAUAUGAAUAUGCAGAGAACUAGUUUGAGGAUUUAUGAACAUAAUGAUUUGAGGAGUAACGCUCAUAUUCAUAUUCCUUCUAGUUUCCCUGCAUGUUAGACGCAUAAGCACGGGUGCGAGCAUAGUUUUGACCAGUUGAGGAUUUUGAUCCUCUUGAAGACUUUGGUCCUCCUGAGGAAUUUGAUCUGGGGUUCAGAUUCUUCAGUGGUGGUGUCAUGAGGACAUUCACCUGAAGAUUUUCAAGACAACUUUUGGGAACCCAGAUUUUCCUCAGAGGAGGGCCAUUACUGUAGUUAGUUCCAACAUAUCGAGCAAAUACUUCACCAGAUUGAUUUUUGAACAGUUUAUAGUUGGAAUCAAAUGACUCAUCCGAGGAAUAGGAUAAUUCAGAUGAGAAGCCAGUUAGAUUAGAUGGAUCAAAAGGAGGCCCAGUAGCAGCAACCCAUGAGGUUUUGGGAUACUGCUCAAGUUUCCAAUAAGAUCCAUCAGCAUUUAAUUUCCUCUCAAAGGCAAUUCCUUCUUUCCUCGGGUUCCUGUUCAAGAUCUGCUUUUUGAGCACAUCACAAAGGGUUUGAUGUCCUUUGAGGCUUUUGUACAUGCCUGACACGUACAAUUCCUUCAACCCUGCAUUUUCAUUAGUAACAUUUGUGUUUUCCUCAAGUGAGGAAAUAGACACAACAGGUGCAGUUGAAGAAUUUGUAGCAAUGGUAGCAUUUGAUGAUUCUGGUGAGGAAUUAGCAGUUUCGCGUUCAAUGCAUUUAAGACAUGGAGGAAUAUAUUCAACUUGACUAGCGCUGAUCUAUUGAGCUAGUAAUGAAUCAUUUUCCAUACGAAGAUCAUCAUGAGACAUCCUCAGCUUCUGAAGAUCAAGCUUCCUUUGAAGAAAUUCAUAGGAAAGCUUCUCAUGAUCAGUGAGGAGUGUAUCCUAACGAUCCUGAAGAUUAUUAAAUCUAGACUGAAGACUUUUCAUGUCAUCAGUGAGGAUUUGGGUAAGGUUCAUUUCGUCAUUCAACAUAUCAUCACUUUUGUCUAGCAGUUUCUGAAGCUUUUCGAGAGCAGUUUGUUGUUUAGUGGCAAUGAUAGCAAGUUUAUUGUAACUGGGUUUCUUAUAAUCAUUAGGUUCACAGUCACUUGAAUCAGAGGACGAGGCAUUAUUUGGUACCUUCGAACCCUUUGCCAUGAAGCAAUAGGUUGGAGCGAAGUCAUCAGCAUGGAUGGUGCAAUCAUUUUCUUCAAGAUUGAAGAUUGACUUGCUGACGAAAGUGGUUUCUAGUGCAAGACUAGCCUGCCCAGAUUCUGAGUCUUCUUCAGAAUCUUAUUCUUCAUCACCUUCCUCUGAUUCUGCCUCGGAGUCCAUUUCCUUGCCAAUAAGUGCCCUAGCCUUUCUGAAACUAGUCUUCUUGUGUGAUGAGGGCUUUGAAGAUGAGGAUUUUGAAGAUUUCUUCUUCUUCUUCGAGUCAUCAGAACUGUCAUCCUUGUAUUUCUUCUUCUUUGAUUCCUUUCCCCAACGGGGACAAUCAGCAAUGUAAUGACCUGAUUUCUUGCACUUGUGACAGGUUCAUUUCUUGUAGUCCUCACAUGAAGAUUCUGAUUUCCUCAUGUCUCUUCUUGAAUAUUUACCGAACUGGCCACGUCGUGUAAAUCUCUGGAAUUUCCUCACGAGCAUUGCAAGCUCCUGUCCAAAUUCUUUAGGGUCACAAAUGCUGUCAUCUGUGUCUUCUUCUUCAGAUGAGGAAAUUGCUCUAGCCUUCAGUGCACGUGGUCUGGAAUAGCUUUGUCCAUAUAGAUCUCUCUUUUCUUCUAGCUGGAAUUCAUGAGUAUUUAGCCUUUCAAGUAUAUCAGCUGGAUCAAGCAUCUUGUAAUCUGGUCUUAAGUAUCAAAUGAAGAAUCCCAAGAUCUCACCAGUUUCUUCAUUAUCAUUAUCAAUAGCUUGUAGAUGCAUUUGCAUUUUGUUCUUCCAGAAGGGAAAGUUCUUUCCUUCGUAGGUAGGACAUGCUGCAGUCACCUUAAACAUGCCUGCAGUCGACAUAACUAAAACUCCACGUGGUUAAACCAAAAUCACACAGAACAAGGGAGUACCUUGCUCUGAUACCAAUUGAAAGUGCGUUAUAUCGACUAGAGGGGGGUGAAUAGGAGAUUUUUAGAAUUUCAUCACUGAGGAAAUUCCUUUUGAGGAAAUUCCUCACUGAUGACUAACUUACAGCGGAAACAGUAAAGGAUCAGACGUGCAAACGUUCACAACCGCAAUAUUUCAGAGUGAAGAAUGUGAAAACAGAUUGCACAGUGAGAAGGCACGCAUAAUACAGAUGAGGAUUAACUAAUGUGAAGAAUUUGGGGUUGAGGAAAUUCGGAGAAAGUCUUCAGCCAAUUCUUCAAACAGUCACAGUGAAAGUCAUCAACACAUAAUACAGGGAAAGUAAAGAGUUGAGGAAUUAGAACCCGUUUCUCAGUGAAGACAGUCGUUGAUGACCCAGUUCCAACUGCUAUGACAGUCGUACAUCUGGUUUGGAGCGGCUUGGUAUUGAAACCAAAGGACACCCAGUCCCGAGACACACAGUCCCUACCGUAUUCUCCUUGAGCUAAGGACACACAGUCCUCGCCCAACACUCGUGGUAAGUCUUCAGGGCAGACUUCCAAACCCUCACAAACUUGGUCACUCAACGAUCCACAGUUAACUGCUGGAACGCUCUAGACCAUGACGCCUAACCGUGUGGAGGAUNNNNNNNNNNNNNNNNNNNNNNNNNNNNNNNNNNNNNNNNNNNNNNNNNNNNNNNNNNNNNNNNNNNNNNNNNNNNNNNNNNNNNNNNNNNNNNNNNNNNNNNNNNNNNNNNNNNNNNNNNNNNNNNNNNNNNNNNNNNNNNNNNNNNNNNNNNNNNNNNNNNNNGCUCAAUCACUAGGUUUGGUUUGUGCUUUCGGUGGAUGGUGUAUUUCCUCAUUGAUGAAUUACUCUCGAAGACUCUGAGGAAUUUGGGUUGCUCUUAUGACAAGUGUCGGUUUCGAACGGAGCAACCAACCAGCUAGUGGUUGUGGGGUGGCUAUUUAUACCCUGGGAGCAUCCCGACAUGAUUUGACACUAAUGCCCUUAAAUAAUAUGACNNNNNNNNNNNNNNNNNNNNNNNNNNNNNNNNNNNNNNNNNNNNNNNNNNNNNNNNNNNNNNNNNNNNNNNNNNNNNNNNNNNNNNNNNNNNNNNNNNNNCCUCCACGCUCAUCGGACCACACACAUCGGUAUGUAUGAUUUCCAAUAAGUCACUUGCACGCUCCAUUGUUCCGGAGAACGGAGUCUUAGUCAUCUUGCCCAUGAGGCAUGGUUCGCACGUGUCAAGUGAAUCAAAGUCAAGUGACUCCAAAAGUCCAUCAGCAUGGAGUUUCUUCAUGCGCUUUACACCAAUAUGACCUAAGCGGCAGUGCCACAAAAAUAGGGCGCUAUCAUUGUUUACUCUAACUCUUUUGGUCUCAAUGUUAUGUAUUUGUUAUCGCUAUCAAGAUUCAAUAUGAACAAUCCUCUCACAUUCGGUGCAUGACCAUAAAAGAUGUUACUCAUAGAAAUAGAACAACCAUUAUUCUCUGACUUAAAAGAGUAACCGUCUCGCAAUAAACAAGAUCCAGAUAUAAUGUUCAUGCUCAACGCAGGCACUAAAUAACAAUGAUUUAAGUUCAUCACUGAUCCCGACGGUAGCUGAAGUGACACUGUGCCGACGGCGAUUGCAUCAACCUUGGAACCAUUUCCUACGCGCAUCGUCACUUCAUCUUUCGCCAGCCUUCGUCUAUUCCGCAGUUCGUGUUUCGAGCUGCAAAUAUGAGCAACAGAACCGGUAUCGAAUACCCAGGCACUACUACGAGAGCUGGUUAAGUACACAUCAAUAACAUGUAUAUCAAAUAUACCUGAUUUUUCUUUGGCCGCCUUCUUAUCAACCAAAUACUGGGGGCAGUUGCGCUUUCAGUGACCCAUACCCUUGCAAUAAUAGCACUCCGUUUCAGGCUUAGGUCCAUCUUUGGGUUUCUUCGUCGGAUUGGCAACAGGCUUGCCGCUCUUCUUUGAAUUACCCUUCUUUCAUUUGCCGUUUCUCUUGAAACUAGUGGUCUUAUUCACCAUCAACACUUGNNNNNNNNNNUGACUCUGCGACUUUCAGCAUCGCGAACAACUCGCCGGGUGACUUGUUCAUCCCUUGCAUAUUGUAGUUCAACACAAAGCCCUUAUAGCUUGGCGGCAGUGAUUGAAGAAUUCUGUCAGUGAUAGCCUCUUGCGGGAGUUCUAUCCCCAGCUCACCUAGACGGUUUGAGUACCCAGACAUUUUGAGCACAUGUUCACUAACAGACGAAUUCUCCUCCAUCUUGCAAGCAUAGAAUUUAUCGGAGGUCUCAUACCUCUCGAUCCGGGCGUUCUUCUGAAAGAUAAACUUCAACUCCUGGAACAUCUCAUAUGCUCCAUGAUGCUCAAAGCGACGUUGAAGUCCCGGCUUUAAGCCAUACAAGACUGCACAUUGAACAUAGCGGGUGGUUCAUCUCCUAGCGCAGCAUUAAGGACAUAAUCCUUCUUCCCAGCUUGUAAGAUUAGCUUAAGAUUACGAGCCCAGUCUACAAAGUUGCUUCCAUCAUCUUUCAANNNNNNNNNNNNNNNNNNNNNNNNNNNNNNNNNNNNNNNNNNNNNNUGCUUGUAGGAGCAACUUAAGAUUACGAGCCCAGUCUACAAAGUUGCUUCCAUCAUCUUUCAACUUAGCUUUCUCGAGGAACGUAUUAAAAUUCAGGGUGACUGUCGCGUGAGCCAUGAUCUACAACACAAAUAUAUUCAAAGUGGACUUAGACUAUGUUCAAGAUAAUUAGAGUUUAACUUAAUCAAAUUACUUUGCUAAACUCCCACUCAAAAAGUACAUCUCUCUAGUCAUUUGAGUGGUUCAUGAUCCAAUUCCACUAGCUCAAGUCCGAUCAUCACGUGAGUUGAGGAUAGUUUCAGUGGUAAGCAUCCCUAUGCUAAUCAUAUCAACUAUAUGAUUCAUGAACGACCUUUCGGUCUCAUGUGUUCCGAGGCCAUGUCUGCACAUGCUAGGNNNNNNNNNNNNNNNNNNNNNNNNNNNNNNNNNNNNNNNNNNNNNNNNNNNNNNNNNNNNNNNNNNNNNNNNNNNNNNNNNNNNNNNNNNNNNNNNNNNNAUGCUCUACAGGUAUCUCCGAAGGUGUUAGUUGAGUUAGUAUGGAUCAAGACUGGGAUUUGUCACUCCGUGUGACGGAGAGGUAUCUCGGGGCCCACUCGGUAAUACAACAUCACACACAAGCCUUGCAAGCAAUGUAACUUACAGUAAGUUGCGGGAUCUUGUAUUACGGAAUGAGUAAAGAGACUUGCCGGUAAACGAGAUUGAAAUAGGUAUGCGGAUANNNNNNNNNNNNNNNNNNNNAUAACUUAGAGUAAGUUGCGGGAUCUUGUAUUACGGAAUGAGUAAAUAGACUUGUCGGUAAACGAGAUUGAAAUAGGUAUGCAGAUACUGACGAUCGAAUCUCGGGCAAGUAACAUACCGAAGGACAAAGGGAAUGACAUACGGGAUUAUAUGAAUCCUUGACACUUAGGUUCAAACGAUAAGAUCUUCGUAGAAUAUGUGGGAUCCAAUAUGGUCAUCCAGGUCCCGCUAUUGGAUAUUGACCGAGGAGUCUCUCGGGUCAUGUCUACAUAGUUCUCGAACCCGUAGGGUCUGCACACUUAAGGUUCGACGUUGUUUUAUGCGUAUUUGAGUUNNNNNNNNNNNNNNNNNNNNNNNNNNNNNNNNNNNNNNNNNNNNNNNNNNNNNNNNNNNNNNNNNNNNNNNNNNNNNNNNNNNNNNNNNNNNNNNNNNNNUCGAAUCUCGGGCAAGUAACAUACCGAAGGACAAAGGGAAUGACAUACAGGAUUAUAUGAAUCCUUGGCACUGAGGUUCAAACGAUAAGAUCUUCGUAGAAUAUGUAGGAUCCAAUAUGGGCAUCCAGGUUCCGCUAUUGGAUAUUGACCGAGGAGUCACUCGGGUCAUGUCUACAUAGUUCUCGAACUCGCAGGGUCUGCACACUUAACGUUCGAAGUUGUUUUAUGCGUAUUUGAGUUAUAUGGUUGGUUACCGAAUGUUGUUCGGAGUCCCGGAUGAGAUCACGGACGUCACGAGGGUUUCCGGAAUGGUCCGGAAACGAAGAUUGAUAUAUAGGAUGACCUCAUUUGAUUACCGGAAGGUUUUCGGAGUUACCGGGAAUGUACCGGGAAUGACGAAUGGGUUCCGGGAGUUCACCGGGGGGGCAACCCACCCCGGGGAAGCCCAUAGGCUUUGGGGGAGACACACCAGCCCUUAGUGGGCUGGUGGGACAGCCCACAAGUGCCCUAUGCGCCAAGGAGAUGAAAAUCAAGAGAGAAAGAAAAAAAAAGGAGGAGGUGGGAAGGAAGGGGGACUCCCUCCCACCAAACNNNNNNNNNNUUGGUGGGACAGCCCACAAGUGCCCUAUGCACCAAGGAGAAGAAAAUCAAGAGAGAAAGAAAAAAAAGGAGGAGGUGGGAAGGAAGGGGGACUCCCUCCCACCAAACCUAGUCCAACUCGGUUUGGGGGGGAAGAGUCCUCCCCCUUGGACUCGGCCGACCCCCUUGGGGCUCCUUGAGCCCCAAGGCAAGGCCCCCUCCCUCCCACCUAUAUAUACGGAGGUUUUAGGACUGAUUUGAGACGACUUUUCCACGGCAGCCCGACCACAUACCUCCACGGUUUUUCCUCUAGNNNNNNNNNNNNNNNNNNNNNNNNNNNNNNNNNNNNNNNNNNNNNNNNNNNNNNNNNNNNNNNNNNNNNNNNNNNNNNNNNNNNNNNNNNNNNNNNNNNNUGUGUUUCCAAUCAAUACAAUUAUAGCAUGGAUAAUAAACGAUUAUCAUGAACAAAGAAAUAUAAUAAUAACUAAUUUAUUAUUGCCUCUAGGGCAUAUUUCCAACACAUCUUCGGGCGCCUCGUGUGUGACGCUGCUUCCUAGCUUUAAUAUCUAUCGCGGGCAAGUUUCUGAUCAUGACCUGAUUGCAUAUGUUUACCUCCCUUACCAUAAUAUAUUAUUUCUGAUCUGUGUAGGGCCAAAGUUGCUUUGUCUAGUUUCUCUGCCGGGCCAUGUGCUGAAAACCAAAACAUUUUGAACCCCCAAUUAGAAAAAGCAGCCAUCGAGGUUGACAUUUUUGAAAGGAACAUUCCAAAUGUUGCAACCGAACUCACAACCGUUUUUUAAAUGCCUAAAUCAAAUGAGACGCUUUUAAUGAACACACCAGUAGAGAUUACAUGCAUUUUAGUUAAUCAUCUUGCUCAUCCACCAAGUCCGGCUCGUCACUUUAGUCCGACGACUCAUGUGAAUGAUCCUAUUCCACCGGCUAGCCAGAGCGCUCUCGAUGUUGUUUUUGUCAAAGAGAAGUUUCAAACUCCUGUUGUUCCCGCCUGUCUUGUUAAGAUUGUGGCUAGGGAAGAAAAAUUGAACUUGGAAAAAAGGAGAAACCCAAUUGGACCUCCCGAAUAUAUCUAUGUUUAGUGCUGAAGAAAUCCACCAGCAAUACUUGACCCGGUUGUCUGAAACUCAGGAAAUUGAUGUCAAUAUGAUUUGCGCUCUCAAGGAGAAAUAUGAGGUAAAAACUCUUGCUUACCUACUCUUUAUCUUUAUAUAUUGUCCCCAGCCCCCAAGGGUCGGUUUAUCAUAAAUAUGAUAAGCCGGCUCUUUUCAAUCUAGUUAAAUGUGAACUUGCGUCCAUAGCCCCCAAGGACGAAGUCGUUAUGAUGAUAACGAGUCGGUUCUUCUUCAAGAUGGAUUUUUUUAUGAAGACUCGACCUGUAGCCCCCAAGGGCAAGCUCAUUCUGUGAGAUGAGGUGGGUCUUCCUCUUUUUGUCAUGCCCUUUUGAAAAGAACUGCUAUGCAUUAGCCCUCAAGUGCCAAGUAUAUUGUGUGUAAUAUGAUGGGGACUUCAAAAAAUAUUUCCUUAUCAUGACCUCCUUAUUGCUUAUAAUAAGUCUCUAUUAAGGCGUGUCAUAAUCACAAUUUUUUACAAACUUUGUGCAUCUGUCCAAGGUAUGCAAGAGAUGCUGAAUCUAUGGUCGUAGAGGUGCAGAAGCGUUUGAAGGAAGAUAUGAAGUUGUGGGCCAAGCCCGAACCAACGGCGGCGUAUUUUAAAAAUUCCAUUUGUCAAGUGCAAGAACGUUUUGAGCAAGCCAUGAAAACUUUUGAAGUAGAAAAAACUGACAUAUUGAAUCGUGCUGAAAAGGCCGAGGGGAAACUUGGUCCCUUGAAAGAAAAUUAUGCCAUUCUGCUUAAGCAACUAAACGAGAUGCUAACUGCCAACCUUCGUAAGACCUUGUGACCUUUAUUCCUUUGAGAUUCUUACAUUGAUAUGACAAAGGGGUGACUCAAAGUUGUAUUUGUCUCUCGUGUCUAGGCCGAACAGAUCAGUCCCUGGUACAGUUGCCCAUUAUGAAACUGAAAGCGAUAUUCACUUAUGUGGAACAACUAUUCAUCGGGUCUGUUUAUUCCAUUAUGGUCGUCAAGAAUUUGAAAUAUCUGCCCCGGACCCUCAAGCAUAUGCUAAAGCAACUCUCCACUCUGCAAUGGGUCUCUAAAACCUGGAAGUCGGCACCUCGCGGUGGGGCAAAUUUGGCUCUUGCGCGUGCUAAGUCAUAUUUACCUGAACUUGAUUUGGCGGCUCUGAAAGAUGGAUUUCCAGAAUAUCAGUUGGACGGCUUAGAAUUUACUCGUGAAGACUUUGCUCGUGUAAUGAAAGAGACCCACCGAUGGCGACUCUUUUAGCACAUCAAAUUGACACAUCCUAGUACUAUGUCGUGUAUACCAUUGAUAAUGAAAGCAUCCCAAUGCCUAAAUAUGAACCCUCUGAGCUGGUCCCGCUCGCCACAGGAGAAAAAUUGAUCCUGAAGUUGAUGCCUCUGCUACGGUUGAAGAAACUUCAAAUUUUGAGUCGUUGAGGACAAUGUGGUGGCUUCAAAAGGGUGAGCAUGCCAUUCAUGAUAAUGAGCCGGAGGAAUUGGACGGUGAAUGAGCCGGCGACGAAGAUUGAAGGCGGGUUCCUUUUGGAACAAAAUAACUCGCCUAGUAGAGAACUAGCCCCCAAGCAUUGUUUAGACAAAAAAUCUUGAAUAUUUGACAACUCCUGAUGUGAGUUUGUAAUAGGGGUAGUAGAAAUUCUGAGAUGUUUUGUCAUGCCAUCGUGCACGUUGGUUUGCACUUAGCUUGCUGUGGUAAAACCUGUCACGACAUUCUAUCAUUUUGAUCCUUUUACCAAAAUGUUUGUCUUUGCUUGGCUCCGGAUAUUUGACUGAAUUUUGAAAUAGGAAAAAACAAGUUGUGAGAGAUACUUGUCUAUUGAAUUCUUCCACAAUAUUGUCUAUGAAAUCAUAUUACUUAAACUUGUCUAUUGACUUGUGGGAGCACCGUUCCACUGUGCACCCCGUGAGAACCCCGUGUUGCCAUUGUCGGUGACCCCUUUGACCUAUAAAAGGAGGCCCUGGACAUGCACAUAGGGAGGUUAGCUAGUCAGUGAAGAUGCACUUGGCAGUUCCUCACCUUUACAUCAGAUUAUUAAACACGAAGCAGGAGUAGGGUUUUACGCCUUCGAGCGGCCCGAAUCUGGGUAAAACGAUCGCGCCCCGACCUCUCGGUCUACUCUUGGUACAUUUGUCUCCCCCGCCGAACCACAAGGGAUCUCUAGAUACCAUAGGUGUUCGUUCCCCACGACAGUCAUAGAGCAAACCCUGCCACAUGCUCUCAAGAUGGUCAUAGACCAAACCCUACAGAACGAGACAGAGAAGGUGGUGACUGAACUCACAAAAGCCACCACCGCAACUCGACCGAGACACAAAACAAGUUAGAGAAGAGGAGGACACGAGCCACCGCCGCCAUGGACCACCGGUCAGAAAAGAAGCGUCGCUUUUGCUUGUUGCUACUGAUCAGCUUGGACGGAAAGCACGAAAGGAGGAAGAAUGGCAGCGGGAGUUUGGGCAGUGGGGGCCAACAUAGGGUGACCGAAUCGGCGGGAGGUAACCCGAAAUCCUCACGUAAAUUUUUCGGGGGCGUGUGCCAUCUUCGUGGUCGCAUGAGAUCCACGCUGCGUUCCCCUCCCCUGCUCGGUCGAGCCUGGCUCUCUAGAAACUAUCGAUUCGGUGGUUCCUAGCGGGCCUACGUGUGAGGUGUUUUAAACAUCAUGCUAUGUAGGCCAAACAGUGAAUGCGGUCAACCAAACAGCCUAAUUUCUUCCCACAGGGGCCUGAUUGGGCCUCAUGCGGGCAAGGAAACACGUCCAUAUGGAUGUAUACUACAUCUGUGUAAAAUCAUUUUUUCUUUUAUUUCGGAAUAUUAUUUUCCAAAAAAUGAGCGCCUUGAAGCUCGAGCUCAAAGAAAUCAUUCUCCCACUUUUGCUUCUAUUUAAAUGAAUGAUUUCCCCCACCUCACCUACUUUCAUUUUUUAGGGACCCAACUCACUUAUUAAGUAGUGGUAAAAGAAGACCGGCUACUUGUCAAAUGUCUCAAAAACAAUUCUAGCUUAGUCGAUCUCCCUCCUCCUUUCUCAACCGUUAGAUCAAAAUCCAAUGGACCAUGGUCAACUUCAACCUCCAACUCAUGUCUUUCUUCUAUCUCUCACCCCCCCCCCUUCUCGAUCCAGCCAGUCCUAGUUGCCUGCUUCAGUCGCCCGCGACCAGCCUCGCCGCCUCUCCCUCCCCCGAACCUCCUCCACCUUUGGUACUCCUCCGUCCCCGGCCAUCUCUCUAGCCCCGGGCCUCAUCGGUUUUUUCUCUAGCACCCCCCCUCCCCUCCCCCGCAUCAUCGUUCUUCCGCUGCCACCCCCAGCAUAAGAUAGAUCACGAGGAAACUUCUCUGGCUCUUUCUUCCUUCCCUUCGACGCCUCCUUUCUUCUAGCGAAAAUCUACUUAACCAAAUUGGAUUUUCACGCGACAGAUGUUUAGCUAACGUGUGUUAAAAAAAAGGUCAUAUAUCAUGGGAACAAAACUGGUUUGCUUGAGAUUUUAAAUUCAAUCAAGCUGUUUGACCUUUCUAAAAUAAAGUGAGCAUGUCGUGACCCAACCCAAGGGCACAAAAUUCACGUUUGAUCCGGUAGCGUUCGUUUGAAAACCCACCCGCACCAGAUCUCUACAGAUCCCACCGUCCAGCUCUCUUUUCCUUAACGGCGACCUACCAACAAACGGACAAGAAAAUGCCAAUUUGUGCUCCAAAAUCGUCGCGACGAUUGCUGUGGGCAGCUCUCCUCGUCGCCCCGCUCGUCGCUGCGCUCUACCAAUUCCCGAUCCAAAUCCUAAAUCCCCGCGCCCCAGAGCCGAAGGCCGCCCCCGCCACCGCCGCCAUGGACGCCGGCCCCGAGCUGGAGCUGGAGCUGGAGCUGGAGUACGAUAUGCCGGGCGUCCUGCGCGUGCACAAGAGCGGCCGCGUCGAGCGCUUCGACGGCGUCGAGACCGUCCCGCCCUCCCCCUCCGGGGACCCCUCCAACGGCGUCGCCUCCAAGGACGUGGUCCUUGACCCCGCGGCCAGCAUCUCCGCCCGCCUCUACCUCCCCGCCGCCGCCGCCGCGGAGCCCGGCAAGAAGUUCCCCGUCGUCAUCUUCUUCCACGGCGGCGCGUUCUUCGUCCACACCGCCGCGUCCCCGCUCUACCACAGGUACUGCGCCUCCCUCGCCGCCGCGGUCCCCGCAGUCGUCGUCUCGGUCGACUACCGUCUCGCCCCGGAGCACCCCAUCCCGGCCGCCUACGAGGACGCCUUCGCGGCCCUCAAGGCGGUCGUCGGCGCGUGCCGUCCGGGCGGCGCCGAGCCCUGGCUCGCCGCGCACGGGGACGCCUCCCGCGUGGUCCUCGCGGGCGACAGCGCCGGCGCCAACAUGGCGCACGCCACGGCGAUACGGCUGGGGAAGGAGGGCAUCGACGGGUACGGCGACAAGGUCAGCGGCGUGGCGCUCCUGAACCCCUACUUCUGGGGGAAACAGCCGGUGGGCGGGGAGCCGACCGACGCCGGGUACCGCGGCGGCUUCGAGCGCGCGUGGCAGGUCAUCUGCAGCGGCAAGUUCGGGCCCGACCACCCGUACAUCAACCCGGCGACGGCCCCGGAGGAGUGGAGGCGGCUCGGGAGCGGCCGCGUGCUGGUCACCACGGCGGAGCACUGCUGGUUCGUGGAGCGGGCGCGCGCGUACGCGGAGGGGAUCAAGGCGUGCGGGUGGGACGGCGAGCUCCAGUUCCACGAGACCAAGGGCGAGGCGCAUGUCUACUUCCUGCCCAAGUACGACUCCGACACCGCCGUCGAGGAGCUCGCCAUGGUGGCGGAUUUCGUCAGGCGCUGUUGAGGAUCUGCUUGCUUUCAUUCAGCAAUAAAGGAGCACAUGAUUUGUGAUGUAUUUCGUGUGUUUUCUGCUGUGAAUUUGUGGAGUUCAUACGAAAGGAUCAAUAUUUGCAUUGUUGAGCAAGACUUGUUGAUGAACUCUUGUUCUGAUUACAGUUAACACGAAAGGAUCAAUAUUUGCAUAGGCAACAAAAACAUACGGCAGUGUUCUCUGACCUCUGAAUCAAGGAAUGCGUCCGCUCGGUCCAUCAGUGUUGAAGACUCAUCCCGAGCCAAAAAUCAUGACUACACAAGUGCCGCCAUUCUACCCGCCUGGGCCUAGUAGUAGGUGUAGCAGUCAUGGAAAAGAUCUUGGACGCCAAUGUCUGGUGGCCGUUCCCCACAGAACAUGCGUGGAGGAAUGCAAUCCCAGCGAACCCCUCCCCCUGCGUGAGAGAUCUCUAGCAUAUUAUGUACAAUAUCCCGAUCUGUAAAAUAAUGGUUAAAAUACAGAUCGGCACGAAAAAUGCUGCCACACCACGCAAACGCGUCCAACCCGUAAUUUUUUUGCGGGGCACGAUAAAAAUUCGCCCUCAACCUUCAGUUUUACGGGGUGAGAGGCCGACCGGAGCACGCCCCUUAUCCGCAACGAGAUUUUGAC
RNAcentral lists this long non-coding RNA (43968 nucleotides) under Hordeum vulgare. Its description in RNAcentral is "long non-coding RNA (HVUL_LNC013312)". Lineage: Eukaryota; Viridiplantae; Streptophyta; Magnoliopsida; Poales; Poaceae. The record is from RNAcentral.